RNAcentral lists this small RNA (538 nucleotides) under Vigna angularis var. angularis. Its description in RNAcentral is "Non-protein coding transcript". Lineage: Eukaryota; Viridiplantae; Streptophyta; Magnoliopsida; Fabales; Fabaceae. The record is from RNAcentral.
GCAUCCUCUUAGCUUCACCUGUGGUAUGGUUAAAUGUAACAUCAAUUACAUAGUUAUCGCGAAGGAGAACAGUCUUUUCCAUUGGCCUUGGGUUUUAACCCAAAAAGAGUUGUGCGAUGCAGAAACCAAAACCCCAUAAUGUAAAACAAGAUGGACACAUGGCAAUUCCACCAUUUCCAUAAUCUUCCACAAUGAUCCCGCCCAUUUCACUUUGGCACAAUCUUGCAUGGGCUCUAAAUUGGAUAUGGUGGGUGGAAUUGCAAAAUCGUGCGAUUCCACAUUUUAAAUAGCGAUUUUGACUACACUGGGCACCAUGCACCUUAAACAUUUUAAACUUGCAAGCAUACUCAUUCAAUCCAUGGUUGUCAAACUUCAGAGAUUAUGUAAGUUCAUAAGAGUUUACCUUAAAGUAAUAUUAAAAAUACAUAAUCAUAGUAUCCAAUCCAAAUAUAACAGUCAUUGAGGAUUGAUAAACGCAUAAGAGUUUACCUUCUACCAAAUAAAUGGCAAUAAUUCAUCACAUGCUUGCAUUUGUUCA